AACAAGGUCUCCGUUGGUGAACCAGCGGAGGGAUCAUUACCGAGUUUACAACUCCCAAACCCCUGUGAACAUACCACUUGUUGCCUCGGCGGAUCAGCCCGCUCCCGGUAAAACGGGACGGCCCGCCAGAGGACCCCUAAACUCUGUUUCUAUAUGUAACUUCUGAGUAAAACCAUAAAUAAAUCAAAACUUUCAACAACGGAUCUCUUGGUUCUGGCAUCGAUGAAGAACGCAGCAAAAUGCGAUAAGUAAUGUGAAUUGCAGAAUUCAGUGAAUCAUCGAAUCUUUGAACGCACAUUGCGCCCGCCAGUAUUCUGGCGGGCAUGCCUGUUCGAGCGUCAUUUCAACCCUCAAGCACAGCUUGGUGUUGGGACUCGCGUUAAUUCGCGUUCCUCAAAUUGAUUGGCGGUCACGUCGAGCUUCCAUAGCGUAGUAGUAAAACCCUCGUUACUGGUAAUCGUCGCGGCCACGCCGUUAAACCCCAACUUCUGAAUGUUGACCUCGGAUCAGGUAGGAAUACCCGCUGAACUUAAGCAUAUCAAU
This 543-nucleotide ribosomal RNA is filed under the name Fusarium sp. AUG 021. RNAcentral's name for it is "eukaryotic LSU rRNA". The stretch from base 188 to 341 matches the Rfam family "5.8S ribosomal RNA". The record is from RNAcentral. Lineage: Eukaryota; Fungi; Ascomycota; Sordariomycetes; Hypocreales; Nectriaceae. RNAcentral also lists the same sequence under 1 other name.